GAGUUUGAUCCUGGCUCGGGAUGAACGCUGGCGGCGUGCCUAACACAUGCAAGUCGAACGGAGUUUAUGAGGAAGAAGCUUCGGCGGAAUUCUUAUAAACUUAGUGGCGGACGGGUGAGUAACACGUGGAGAACCUGCCUCUUACCGGGGGGACGAGCAGUUGGUAAACGGAACUGAUAAUAACCGCCAUAAGACGCACGAGACCGCAUGGUCCGUGUGUGAAAAGAAUUUA
This 232-nucleotide ribosomal RNA is filed under the name uncultured microorganism. Its description in RNAcentral is "partial 16S ribosomal RNA". It matches the Rfam family "Bacterial small subunit ribosomal RNA", at positions 9 to 213 of the family's 1533-position model. The record is from RNAcentral.